CAGAAAUUUUAAUUGUACUGGAAAAGAUCGUCCUCGAGUCUGCUUUUUACGAUUCUCUAAAUAUCCUACCCAUUGCCAAUCGCAAGAACUGUACAAGACAAACGCAAUAGAAUUUCGGAUUAAAACACGAUCAUGUUCUUCACUUUCGUCAAAUUUUAUAAAUCUUCAAUGAAUCUAGUGCCCUACGAUGACCUAUGACCUAAAGUUUGAACUGUAUAGAAACAAGGAUGUUUAAUUAAUGUGCCUAGUUCCUGUUCGAAUCGAUAUACCGAUCGAAAUGGGCUCAAAUAUGAAAUCUGUCACUCCUAGCAAGUAAACUGACAACUCUAUUGGAAUAGUCCCUGUUGCCAGACAUACAUGAACUGAUAACAAUGAAAAUGUAUUGAAAUUAUGCUGGAGAACUCCGCUUGCUGGAUUUGAUGAAUCUUUACACAACCUUAAAGAGAAACAGAGACAAGUCUGAUGGCUGCCUAUAUAUACCCAUACCUAGUGUUUGGUGAUGUUUAAGCCGAGCGGAGCAAAUUUCCGUUUGCUGUUUUCAUGGACUUUUCCGAGUCUCUCGAUAAUCUCCAACAACAGAAUGGUUUCCUGAUACCUGGCCGUUAGUUCACCCAGCAGUCAGUUAAACUUAAGCCAAACGAAGGAAAUAUCUAUGGUUAUUUUCAUGAUUCCUGUUUCUCCAUGUCUUACCACAAUUUUCAAUGUUCCGGAGAACUAACAGUGCCCCGCAGAGUCAUUACGUCUAGCCUCAAAAUACACACUAUGGAAUGCUUCUAUUUCUGAAAGAUUACGAAGGACCACACUACUCCAGACUCCUGUUCAAUAAUUUUAUUUCACAACUUUUGCUGUAACAAUGGCUGCUGUCUACUGCCACUUCAAAGUUCCUGUUCCACGGCUCUAUUUCUAGAAACCUGCACCCACAACAGCAGUGGUCUACAUUGAAUACUACUUAUAGGGAAAAUGACACUCAAGAUCUUCUUUUAUGUUAGGUACUUAGUAUGCUAACUUAACCAAUCAUGUACUAUUAUUCGACCGUAGUCAGAAUAUGAUGGAAAAGUACCGUCAACAGAUCAGUACUGUAAUCCUAAGUCAACCUAUGUCUAAUAUACUUUUAUACUACAAAUAAGUAUGUUUUUGUAUGUGCGCCGUUAGUCAGGGCAACAACGCAUUACAUAUCUCGGUCGAUUUUCAUGAAAAACAAAGCACUCGUACAGGCCCUAGUAAAUAAUAGCAAUGACUGUAGAUAGUAACUAUGCACAUAUUUCACUGCUAUUCUUAAUAAAUAUAGUGAGGGUUCUGAAGAAGGCCUAUGUAGCUAAAUUCUCAUACAUAUGUGUAUGUACUACUAAUCUUCUAAUAAUUAUUAUAUGACGUA
Long non-coding RNA from Cydia pomonella (codling moth), 1375 nucleotides. RefSeq lists it as uncharacterized. The transcript is spliced from 6 exons. The record is from RefSeq and is a predicted model, not a curated record. Lineage: Eukaryota; Metazoa; Arthropoda; Insecta; Lepidoptera; Tortricidae.